AGAGCGAACGUUUGCGGCGGGCUUAACACAUGCAAGUCGCACGAGAACUCUCCCUUCGGGGAGGGGGAAAGUGGCGCACGGGUGCGUAACACGUGGGUAACCAACCCUCUAGAUUGGGACAACCCGGGGAAACUCGGGCUAAUACCGGAUGUGGCUUCAGGGACUUCGGUCUUUGUCGUGAAAGGAGCAAUCCACUAGAGGACGGGCCCGCGGCCCAUCAGCUUGUUGGUGAGGUAAUGGCUCACCAAGGCUAAGACGGGUAGCUGGUCUGAGAGGAUGAUCAGCCACACUGGAACUGAGACACGGUCCAGACUCCUACGGGAGGCAGCAGUGGGGAAUAUUGCGCAAUGGGCGAAAGCCUGACGCAGCCACGCCGCGUGAGCGAUGAAGGCCUUCGGGUCGUAAAGCUCUGUGGGGGGAGAAGAACCUGACGGUAUCCCUUAGCAAGCACCGGCUAACUCCGUGCCAGCAGCCGC
Molecule: ribosomal RNA, 476 nt
Filed under: uncultured bacterium
Lineage: Bacteria
Description: SSU rRNA
Rfam family: Bacterial small subunit ribosomal RNA
Source: RNAcentral